RNAcentral lists this ribosomal RNA (250 nucleotides) under uncultured prokaryote. RNAcentral's name for it is "partial 16S ribosomal RNA". It matches the Rfam family "Bacterial small subunit ribosomal RNA", at positions 524 to 773 of the family's 1533-position model. The record is from RNAcentral.
UACGUAGGGGGCGAGCGUUGUCCGGAAUGACUGGGCGUAAAGGGCGUGUAGGCGGCGGACUAAGUCUGGAGUGAAAGUCCUGCUUUUAAGGUGGGAAUUGCUUUGGAUACUGGAUCGCUUGAGUGCGGAAGAGGUAAGUGGAAUUCCCAGUGUAGCGGUGAAAUGCGUAGAGAUUGGGAGGAACACCAGUGGCGAAGGCGACCUACUGGGCCGUAACUGACGUUGAGGCUCGAAAGCGUGGGGAGCAAAC